This 752-nucleotide ribosomal RNA is filed under the name Desulfosporosinus sp. enrichment culture clone N3. RNAcentral describes it as "bacterial SSU rRNA". It matches the Rfam family "Bacterial small subunit ribosomal RNA", at positions 8 to 719 of the family's 1533-position model. The record is from RNAcentral. Lineage: Bacteria; Bacillati; Bacillota; Clostridia; Eubacteriales; Desulfitobacteriaceae.
AGAGUUUGAUUAUGGCUCAGGACGAACGCUGGCGGCGUGCCUAACACAUGCAAGUCGAACGGUCUCGAUUUCGAACUUCGAUCUUCGAAUAUCGAACAUCGAGAUAGUGGCGGACGGGUGAGUAACGCGUGGGUAACCUGCCCAUAAAGCCGGGACAACCCUUGGAAACGAGGGCUAAUACCGGAUAAUCUUAGGGAGUGGCAUCACUGCUUAAGGAAAGAGGGCCUCUGAAAAUGCUCUUGAUUAUGGAUGGACCCGCGUCUGAUUAGCUGGUUGGUGGGGUAAAGGCCUACCAAGGCGACGAUCAGUAGCCGGCCUGAGAGGGUGAACGGCCACACUGGGACUGAGACACGGCCCAGACUCCUACGGGAGGCAGCAGUGGGGAAUCUUCCGCAAUGGACGAAAGUCUGACGGAGCAACGCCGCGUGUAUGAUGAAGGUCUUCGGAUUGUAAAGUACUGUCUUUAGGGAAGAACGGCAGGUAUGAAAAAAUUGUAGCUGCAUGACGGUACCUAAGGAGGAAGCCCCGGCUAACUACGUGCCAGCAGCCGCGGUAAUACGUAGGGGGCGAGCGUUGUCCGGAAUUAUUGGGCGUAAAGGGCGCGUAGGCGGGUAUUUAAGUCCGAUGUGAAAGAUCAGGGCUCAACCCUGAGAGUGCAUCGGAAACUGGGUAUCUUGAGGACAGGAGAGGAAAGUGGAAUUCCACGUGUAGCGGUGAAAUGCGUAGAUAUGUGGAGGAACACCAGUGGCGAA